AGCCAUGUAGUGAGCACAAAGCGAAUUAUUCUUUCGCCUUUUACUAAAGAAUACCGUGUGCUUGUUGCUUUUAACGGCAUAUGCCUAUUUUUGGAGAGUCUUCUAUUAUUGAAGGGCU
Molecule: small nuclear RNA, 118 nt
Filed under: Helianthus annuus (common sunflower)
Lineage: Eukaryota; Viridiplantae; Streptophyta; Magnoliopsida; Asterales; Asteraceae
Description: U5 spliceosomal RNA
Rfam family: U5 spliceosomal RNA
About the family: U5 RNA is a component of both types of known spliceosome.
Source: RNAcentral